Molecule: unclassified non-coding RNA, 159 nt
Filed under: uncultured Herpotrichiellaceae
Lineage: Eukaryota; Fungi; Ascomycota; Eurotiomycetes; Chaetothyriales; Herpotrichiellaceae
Description: sequence contains ITS2
Source: RNAcentral
UCACAGUAUCAAGCUUGGCUUGUUGUUGGGCCCUUUUGUCACUUGGUGACAGGCCCAAAAGAUAAUGGCCGGUGUCGUAAAGACCCUAUAUGCAACGAGCUUAUAACAGCACGCAUCUAGUAGUCAUACGGCCCGGUUGUCACCCCUUAUUUCUCCCAA